GCCAGGGAACUACGAGCAAAGCUUAAAACCCAAAGGACUUGACGGUGCCCAUAUCCCACUAGAGGAGCCUGUCCUAUAAUCGAUGAUCCCCGUUAAACCUCACCACUUCUAGCCUAUCAGCCUGUAUAUUUCCGUCGUAAGCUAACCGCAUGAGUGAAACUCAGUUAGUACAAAGACCAACAAGACACCCCCCCCCGUCAACACGUCAGGUCAAAAUGCAGCAAAUGAAGUGGGAAGAGAUUGGCUACACUUUUUACUUUAAAAGAAAACGAAAGACAAUAAUGAAACUUUGUCAGAAGGCGGAUUUAGUAGUAAAAAGAAUUCAUAAUAUUCAUUUGAACCUGGCACUGGAACCUGU
Molecule: ribosomal RNA, 358 nt
Filed under: Eleutherodactylus coqui (Puerto Rican coqui)
Lineage: Eukaryota; Metazoa; Chordata; Amphibia; Anura; Eleutherodactylidae
Description: partial 12S ribosomal RNA
Rfam family: Bacterial small subunit ribosomal RNA
Source: RNAcentral